This is a non-coding RNA of Pangasianodon gigas (Mekong giant catfish), 71 nucleotides long. The record is from the annotation of a GenBank genome assembly. Lineage: Eukaryota; Metazoa; Chordata; Actinopteri; Siluriformes; Pangasiidae.
GCAGUCAUAGCUCAGUGGUUAAGGCUCUGGGUUACUGAUCAGAAGGUCAGUGUUCAAGCCCCAGGACUGCU